UUGAAUGGUCUUUGACCUUCUACCCUUCAAACCCGUGGAAGUGAAUAUCGUGCUUCGGCGUCCCUCUGGGGUCGCCGCUUUUAUGCGGAAACAUGUGUGUCGUCUGAAUGGAUACAAUAAAAUCA
RNAcentral lists this unclassified non-coding RNA (125 nucleotides) under uncultured Ascomycota. RNAcentral describes it as "sequence contains ITS1". Lineage: Eukaryota; Fungi; Ascomycota. The record is from RNAcentral.